GUACUGAGACACGGACCAGACUCCUACGGGAGGCAGCAGUGAGGAAUAUUGGUCAAUGGGCGAAAGCCUGAACCAGCCAUGCCGCGUGAAGGAUGACAGCCCUAUGGGUUGUAAACUUCUUUUGUACGGGAAGAAACGCUUCUACGUGUAGAGGUUUGACGGUACCGUACGAAUAAGCAUCGGCUAACUCCGUGCCAGCAGCCGCGGUAAUACGGAGGAUGCAAGCGUUAUCCGGAUUUAUUGGGUUUAAAGGGUACGUAGGCGGGAGCUUAAGUCAGUGGUGAAAUCCUGCAGCUUAACUGUAGAACUGUCAUUGAUACUGGGCUUCUUGAAUGUAGUUGAGGUAGGCGGAAUGUGUAAUGUAGCGGUGAAAUGCUUAGAUAUUACACAGAACACCGAUUGCGAAGGCAGCUUACUAAACUACGAUUGACGCUGAGGUACGAAAGCGUGGGGAGCGAACAGGAUUAGAUACCCUGGUAGUCCACGCUGUAAACGAUGAUCACUCGUUGUUGGCAAUACACCGUCAGCGACUGAGCGAAAGCAUUAAGUGAUCCACCUGGGGAGUACGACCGCAAGGUUGAAACUCAAAGGAAUUGACGGGGGCCCGCACAAGCGGAGGAACAUGUGGUUUAAUUCGAUGAUACGCGAGGAACCUUACCUGGGCUUAAAUGUAGAACGACGGACCGGGAAACUGGUCUUUCUUCGGACGGUCUGCAAGGUGCUGCAUGGCUGUCGUCAGCUCGUGCCGUGAGGUGUCGGGUUAAGUCCCAUAACGAGCGCAACCCUCAUCAUUAGUUGCCAGCGGGUAAUGCCGGGGACUCUAAUGAAACUGCCGGUGUAAACCGAGAGGAAGGUGGGGAUGACGUCAAGUCAGCACGGCCCUUAUGUCCAGGGCUACACACGUGUUACAAUGGUCGGUACAAAGGGCAGCUACCUGGCGACAGGAUGCUAAUCUCGAAAACCGAUCUCAGUUCGGAUCGAAGUCUGCAACUCGACUUCGUGAAGCUGGAUUCGCUAGUAAUCGCGCAUCAGCCAUGGCGCGGUGAAUACGUUCCCGGGCAUUGUACACACCGCCCGUCAAGCCAUGGAAGCUGGGGGUACUUGAAGUCCGUAACCGCAAGGAGCGGCCU
RNAcentral lists this ribosomal RNA (1130 nucleotides) under uncultured organism. Its description in RNAcentral is "bacterial SSU rRNA". It matches the Rfam family "Bacterial small subunit ribosomal RNA", at positions 316 to 1458 of the family's 1533-position model. The record is from RNAcentral.